RNAcentral lists this ribosomal RNA (468 nucleotides) under uncultured bacterium. RNAcentral describes it as "partial 16S ribosomal RNA". It matches the Rfam family "Bacterial small subunit ribosomal RNA", at positions 28 to 507 of the family's 1533-position model. The record is from RNAcentral.
GACGAACGCUGGCGGCGUGCUUAACACAUGCAAGUCGAACGGAAAGGCCCUGCGUUUGUGGGGUGGUCGAGUGGCGAACGGGUGAGUAACACGUGUGUAACCUGCACCUGACUUUGGGAUAACUUCAGGAAACUGGGGCUAAUACCGGAUAGGAUAUCCUGCUGCAUGGUGGGGGAUGGAAAGUUUCGGCUGUUGGGGAUGGACUCGCUGCUUAUGGGCUUGAUGGUGGGGUAGUGGAUUACCAAGGCUUUGACGGGUAGCCGGCAUGAGAGGGUGACCGGGGUCAUGAGGACUGAGAUACGGAGCAGACUCGUAUGGGAGGCAGCAGGCGGGAAUUUGGCAGAACGGGCGGACGCGAGAGGUGGAAACGCUGCGUGCGGGAUGACGGGCUACUGGUGGAGAACAAAUGUGGAAGUUGACGAGGAGUUAGUGACGGUAAUGGGUAAAGAAGCACCGGCUAACUACGUG